RNAcentral lists this ribosomal RNA (465 nucleotides) under uncultured bacterium. RNAcentral's name for it is "partial 16S ribosomal RNA". It matches the Rfam family "Bacterial small subunit ribosomal RNA", at positions 338 to 795 of the family's 1533-position model. The record is from RNAcentral.
CCUACGGGAGGCAGCAGUGGGGAAUUUUGCGCAAUGCUCGUAAGAGUGACGCAGCGACGCCGCGUGAAUGACGAAGGCCAUCGGGUCGUAAAGUUCUUUCGACAGGGAAGAAACUGCCUAUAAGUAACUGUGUAUGUAUUGACGGUACCUGUAUAAGCAGCCCCGGCUAACUCCGUGCCAGCAGCCGCGGUAAUACGGAGGGGGCGAGCGUUGUUCGGAGUGACUGGGCGUAAAGAGCACGUAGGCGGUGUUGUAAGUCAUUAGUCAAAGACUAGAGCUCAACUUUAGUAAGGCUAGUGAUACUAUAAUACGAGAGUAUCAGAGAGGAUGGCAGAAUUCCUGGUGUAGCGGUGAAAUGCGUAGAUAUCAGGAGGAAUACCGUUAGCGAAGGCGGCAAUCUGGCUGGAAACUGACGCUGAGGUGCGAAAGCGUGGGUAGCAAACAGGAUUAGAUACCCGUGUAGUC